RNAcentral lists this unclassified non-coding RNA (396 nucleotides) under Hevea brasiliensis (rubber tree). Lineage: Eukaryota; Viridiplantae; Streptophyta; Magnoliopsida; Malpighiales; Euphorbiaceae. The record is from RNAcentral.
AAAAAAUAUAUAUAUAUAUUAGAAAGAGCAUUAUAUACAUGAUUGCUAAAUAAAAUUUCGAAGCAAUGCUAUGUAUCCAAUUCCCAAAUAUAUAAGUUCUGGCAAUGCGGAUUCUUCCUAUCAAAUAUCAAUUAAACACUAUCUCACCCUCUAAUUGUAAAUACCAUAUCCCACAUAUUCCUUGGCUCUACUGAAACCAGCUUUUUCCUUUUGCUGCUCUUACAUAAUGUGAUAACCACAUCCAUCUUGCAUCCUAGUAUAACAUGCCACCCAAGAUUGGUAAAAAUUUACAAUUCAAAUUGUACCAAAUCUCAAUGCUGAGAUGAACCAAAAGAAAUAUUUUGAAAGUUCAUAAAGAUAUAACGUAGUCUCACCUUAUAAAGAUAUAACAUUAGU